AUACUUACAUGCACACAGCACAAACUGUGUAGUAUCUGUUCUUAUCAGCUUAAUAUCUGAUACAUCCUUGACGAGAGGACUUCAUAUUAAAUGGAUUUUUGCUUGGUUGGUUUUUUU
Molecule: small nuclear RNA, 117 nt
Filed under: Buceros rhinoceros silvestris
Lineage: Eukaryota; Metazoa; Chordata; Aves; Bucerotiformes; Bucerotidae
Description: U2 spliceosomal RNA
Rfam family: U2 spliceosomal RNA
About the family: U2 is a small nuclear RNA (snRNA) component of the spliceosome (involved in pre-mRNA splicing). Complementary binding between U2 snRNA (in an area lying towards the 5' end but 3' to hairpin I) and the branchpoint sequence (BPS) of the intron results the bulging out of an unpaired adenosine, on the BPS, which initiates a nucleophilic attack at the intronic 5' splice site, thus starting the first of two transesterification reactions that mediate splicing.
Source: Rfam by way of RNAcentral